ACGCAUGUUGAGGACAUUUCCACAAGAGCUCCUAAAACCUAUCUUAUGUCUCAAAAAAAGACUCUAAUUCCGUCUGCACAAAAGAAGAUAUCUCAUUCCUAAGCUU
Dioscorea cayenensis subsp. rotundata (Guinea yam) is the source of this 106-nucleotide small nucleolar RNA. Lineage: Eukaryota; Viridiplantae; Streptophyta; Magnoliopsida; Dioscoreales; Dioscoreaceae. The record is from RefSeq and is a predicted model, not a curated record.